RNAcentral lists this long non-coding RNA (228 nucleotides) under Arabidopsis lyrata. RNAcentral's name for it is "long non-coding RNA (ALYR_LNC003205)". Lineage: Eukaryota; Viridiplantae; Streptophyta; Magnoliopsida; Brassicales; Brassicaceae. The record is from RNAcentral.
AGGGACUAAGGUCGGGAAAAGUGACCGAGUCCGGUGGGGACCAAGGUCGGGAAAAUUAACCGAGUCCGUAUAGGACCAAGGUUGGGAAAUAUUGACCGAGUCUGAUUUGGACCAAGGUCGAAAAUUUGUUCUAGUCGGGAUUGGACUAGGAUGGGAAACAUUUGAUCGCGUUCGGGAAAUGAAACAAGAUCGGGAAAAUAGAUUGAGUCCGGUAAUUGGACCAAGAUU